UUUUUAGUGUAAAUAUGUCCUGAGCAGUAUUCGGGACAUACUUAUGCUAAAA
Molecule: microRNA precursor, 52 nt
Filed under: Ovis aries (sheep)
Lineage: Eukaryota; Metazoa; Chordata; Mammalia; Artiodactyla; Bovidae
Description: mir-1302 microRNA precursor family
Rfam family: mir-1302 microRNA precursor family
Source: Rfam by way of RNAcentral